AUGGCAGAGGGGGUUGUCGGCAUGCUGAUUCUGAAGCUUGGUUCAGCCUUGGCCAUAGAAGCAAUCAAGGUUGGUACAGGGAAGCUAUGCCGUCAAGCUAAAGCUUCUUCUGUUGUCAGGCUGUUUGGUCAGAUCCGUGAUAUCAAGGAGGAGCUGGAGAGCAUGCAGUCGUUUCUACAAGAAGCCGAGAGGUUCAAGGAUACUAACAAUACCACUGCCAGCUUCAUCAACAAGAUCCGAGGCCUUGCUUUCCAGAUUGAGGACGUUGUUGACGAGUUCACCUACAAGUUAGAGGACAAGCAUGGUGGCUUUUCUGUGAAGAUCAAGCGGCGGUUUAAGCGAAUCAGGACCUGGCGCCGUCUGUCACUGAAACUGAGAGACAUCAAACUGAAAUUAGAGAAUGUUGAUAGGAGAAAGGCCCGGUAUGACAUGAGAGGAAUUGCAAUAGAAGCUAGAAACAGUGACGCUCAUUGCAGGUCUACAGAUCAGACUUCAUACUUCCCAAUAGAAGAAAAUCUUGUCGGCAUUGAUGAGAGUAAGAAUUUGCUGAUUAAUUGGUUGACAAGCGAUUUCCAACAGGAGAAUGUAAUUAGCACAGUAUGGGGGAUGGGAGGAGUAGGCAAGACCACUUUGGUUGCCCAUGUUUACAACACUCUGAAGAUAGACUUCGACUGUGCUGCAUGGAUAACUGUAUCAAAAUCAUACCAGGUUCAGGACUUGUUAAAGCAGAUUAUCAGGGAGUUACAGAAGAGUGACUUGAAGGGUGAACUUCGCGUUGAUAUUGUUGACAUGGAAAAGAGAAGCCUAGUUGAGAUCAUCCGUGAUUUCUUGCGUGGCAAGAAGUACCUUCUGGUUCUAGAUGAUGUCUGGGGUAUUGACAUCUGGUUCAAGAUAAGAGAUGCUUUCCCUACUAACAGCACCAGCCGGUUUGUAAUCACGUCAAGAAUCCAUGAUGUAGCGUUGCUGGCUACUGGAAAUUGCAUGGUUGAAUUGAAACCACUAGAAGCGCACCACUCAUGGGAAUUGUUCUGUAAAGAGGCGUUUUGGAAAAAUGAAAACAGAAUAUGUCCGGAGGAGCUACAGUUUUUGGCACAAAGAUUUGUGGACAAGUGUAAUGGCUUGCCCAUUGCUAUUGCAUGCAUAGGUCGUUUACUGUCCUGCAAAAGCCAAACUCAUUCUGAAUGGGAAAAAUUGUACAAGGAAUUAGAAGUGCAGUUGACAAACAAUGCGAUUCUUGAUGUUAACAUAGUUCUAAUGGUCAGUUUGGGGGAUCUUCCAUAUAUUUUGAAGAACUGCUUUCUUCAUUGUAUUGUAUUUCCAGAGGAUUAUUUGAUCAAAAGGAAAAGACUGAUUAGACAUUGGGUGACAGCAGGAUUCAUCAGGGAAACAGAGCACAAAACAAUGGAGGAAGUGGCAGAGGGCUAUUUGUAUGAACUUGUAAAUCGAAGCCUAUUGCAGGUAGUGGAGAGGAAUGAAAGUGGACGUGUGCGGAGUUGCCGAAUGCAUGAUAUCAUUCGCCUUCUUGCUCUGGCUAAAUCAAAUGAGGAAAGGUUCUGUAGAGUUCAUGAUGGCUCAGUGAGUUCUUCAGCAGAAAAUACACGCCGCCUAUCAAUCCAAAGUGCCAAUAUUGAGCAGUUGACUCUUUCAAGUGAAGUUCAGCUCCGUUCAAUCUAUGUUUUUGACAAUGGUCUGACAAUUGAUUCACUGAAGUCUUUCUUGAAAUCUUUCAAGUUGCUAUCAACUUUAGAUCUACAAGGUUCCAAAAUUAGGAGGCUACCAAAUGAGAUUUUCAACAUGUUUAAUCUGCGGUUUCUGGGUCUUAGAGAUACCGAGGUUGAGGAUAUUCCGAAAACAGUUGGAAGACUACAGAAAUUGGAAGUUUUGGAUGCUUACAAUGCUAAGCUGUUGAGUUUGCCGGAGAGUGUGGCAACACUUAGGAAGUUGAGAUAUCUAUAUGUUGCUACUGAUCCAAAGACAAAUAUUAAAGGAGUUGUUGCCUGGACUGGAAUCCAGGUGCCUAACGGAAUAAGGCACUUGACAGACUUGCAAGCCUUGCAACUUGUUGAGGCAAGCUCAGAGACUUUGUGUCAUCUUGGUGCUUUGACAGAGUUGAGAACUUUGUCCAUCACCAAAGUGCAGAGAGAACAGUGUGCUGAUUUGUGCAAUGCUAUCAUGAAUAUGACCCACCUUGUCAGUCUUGCAAUUAUGGCUAUAAAUGAGAAAGAAACACUGGAACUGGAAGAGCUCUGCUUACCUCCUACGCUCUCGAAGCUUGAAAUAGGAGGGCAACUAGAUAGGAAACGGAUGCCUCAGAUUGUCUCGUCCUUCUCAGGCCAUGAAAACAUUACCUUGUUGGCCUUAGCCUUCUCCAAACUUGAUGAAGACUCAUUUUCAUGCCUGCUGGUGUUACAUGGUCUACGUGCACUUUGGCUUGAUAAGGCCUAUGAAGGGAAGAGUCUGCACUUCAAUGCCAUGGCAUUUCCAAAACUGCGACUGCUAUCAAUCUCAGAUGCACCGCAGCUCAAUGAUGUUGUAGUAGAAGAAAGUGCAUUGCAAAGCCUUGUUCACCUAUCUCUCACAGAUUGUCCAGAGCUAAAGGCCCUCCCUGAUGGCAUUGAGCAUCUUAGAACACUAGAGAAAUUAUAUCUGCGAGGAGUUUCCAAAGAUCUCACAAAGAAGCUUCAGAACAAAGAAAAAACAAAUGAAUGCAAUGAUUAUCUUAAGAAGAUCAAUCACGUCCGAAGGGUAACUGUUUAUCCAUGA
RNAcentral lists this ribosomal RNA (2763 nucleotides) under Triticum aestivum (bread wheat). RNAcentral describes it as "partial small subunit ribosomal RNA". Lineage: Eukaryota; Viridiplantae; Streptophyta; Magnoliopsida; Poales; Poaceae. The record is from RNAcentral.